This is a long non-coding RNA of Mauremys mutica (yellowpond turtle), 571 nucleotides long. RefSeq lists it as uncharacterized. The transcript is spliced from 5 exons. Lineage: Eukaryota; Metazoa; Chordata; Testudines; Geoemydidae. The record is from RefSeq and is a predicted model, not a curated record.
CUUCACCCAUCUCCAUAUGGGACUGUGAAUGAGUCAUAAAGAGAAGCCCUGUGAGGGUAUCUUUCCGCUGGGAAGUGACUGCCAUCAACUAACCUUGAAUCAAAUGCACAUCAAUUUUUGUCAGAGGGACCCAAUACUGCUAAAGGAUUGGAAGGACUUGGGCCUACUAGGGCCCCAUUAGACUGAUGGAUGACUCCAGAUACAAAGGACAAACCCACCAGAGCUAUCUGAUACAGACCACCAGGACCAUAGCAGAGCAAGAGAGAAAAAUCCUUGGACCAACACUAAAGAUAGUAAGAUUGUUCUGAUUCAAACAAGAGAUGCUCCAGUCAGAGAUGGAACCAUCAGAAACAAUAACUACUAAAGAUGAUGCCAGAAAAUGUGAAGAGGUUAGAAUCAGAGGACACAAACUACUUGAAUACAGCACAUGGAUUCACAGACUGCAGCAACCUAACCCUUCCAGCCUGGGAUUUAAAACUAUCGUGGAGCAGUCAGAGGAAGCAUUUAUGUGAUUAUGUUGGAUGUUCUGGGCAGGGCCAACAAGCAGGUACAGUUCAAAAGGGAAGAGGAU